This 147-nucleotide non-coding RNA is filed under the name Pessonella sp. PRA-29. The record is from RNAcentral. Lineage: Eukaryota; Discosea; Flabellinia; Vannellidae.
CCGUCGUUGACUGUGCAGCAGCUAGUGCCGCCGGUCGAGCGAGUGCCGUUGCCUCCUGGACAGUACGGCUAUGUGGCCACUGGACCUCGUUCAUCGUGCGCUAUUGAAGAGAAUGCGCGCGCGCUGUAUUGUUGGGGCACUGGCAGC